AGCUCCAAUAGCGUAUAUUAAAAUUGUUGCGGUUAAAACGCUCGUAGUUGGAUAUUUGUUGAAGAAUGUGGGUCCAUCCUCAGUGGUGAGCACUCCAUAUGUCUUCGACAUCUUACUGGGGACAGUAAUUCCACUUCAUUGCGGGGUUACACGAUCCAGAACUUUUACUUUGAGGAAAUGAGAGUGUUUCAAGCAGGCCAAGCCAUGAAUACGUUAGCAUGGAAUAAUAGCAUAGGACCUUGUGUCGUAGCUGUUGGUUGACGGCAUAAGGUAAUAAAA
RNAcentral lists this ribosomal RNA (279 nucleotides) under uncultured eukaryote. RNAcentral's name for it is "partial small subunit ribosomal RNA". It matches the Rfam family "Eukaryotic small subunit ribosomal RNA", at positions 587 to 870 of the family's 1831-position model. The record is from RNAcentral.